UUGACAGAAAUGAACAGUGUGCCGUCCACGAGCGGAUUCAAAACAACUUCAAAACUUGACUCAGCGUUCCAGCUGAAUUGGGAUCGACUGCUCUGACCGGCUACCGAUGUUAGCACAGUUGGCUAAUGACUUUGUAUUCAAGCUAAACCUUAACAAUCAGAAACAAAAGCGACGCUGCCCAUUCACAGAUCAAUAUCUGUCCAGCUACCUUGCUCUACUCCAAAACAAUGUGGAUAUGAUGACCUCUCUACCAGAAAGUGUCAGUCUUGCGCUCUCUAUGCAGUCUGCAUGUGGAGAAGCUACACUGGUUCAGCCAACUCUACCCUCUCACCGUCCACUCACUCUUUCCUCCACUUUACAAGGAGCUGUUCGCCCCUGACUCAGACCAGACAUCUGUGGCCACACUCUGAACUCCACCAUACAUGGAGACAGAAAACAUUCUGCAAGCAAAAUAUGCAUACAGUAGUAGACAGAUACACGCACUUACAAACAGACACAUACAUACAUUCAUACAUACAUAUGCAUGAUUACAUGGAUUUCUUUAUUUGUUGAAUAUAUAUAUUUUUGUAUAUUCAGAGAGCAAAGGAACAAAAUCAUCUGAAUAACCUAGUAGAUAUUCAAUUUGGUCAUGCAGAAACUAAUUUACAGAUUAGGAUGGUACACAAAUAUUCAGGCAUUUCAAAUUGAUCGUAUGAAAAUGUGUUAUUUCUGAGUUGUACUUUUUUUUUUUCCUUCAGUGUAAUCUCAGUGUAGACUAUCUGUGUUAUUUUGUCUCAGGGUGAUGUUUUGACUGUAACCAGAUCAGUGUGUAGAUGGUGUAAAUGAUCAUAUUCAGAUUGUCACUAUGCAGCUGGACAACAUGCAUAUAUAACAGUAUGAAUUCUUAUGUGUGUGUUCUGAGUGGUUGGCUAACCCAUCAGAUUGAAUGAGUUAUAGCCCCUGGCCCACUUUUCAGGGCACAAAUACAGUGUAGCCUUCACAAUAAACUGUUUGUGGAUCAGGUUUGACCAACUCUGCUGUCUCUAUCAUAAUGAGCUUUAAGUGUGCGUUUGUGUUGCAUUAAAACAAUGACACAGAUCCUAGACAAGCGGAAAU
Molecule: long non-coding RNA, 1095 nt
Organism: Esox lucius (northern pike)
Lineage: Eukaryota; Metazoa; Chordata; Actinopteri; Esociformes; Esocidae
Exons: 3
Source: RefSeq, a predicted model, not a curated record